RNAcentral lists this ribosomal RNA (543 nucleotides) under Triticum aestivum (bread wheat). RNAcentral's name for it is "partial small subunit ribosomal RNA". The record is from RNAcentral. Lineage: Eukaryota; Viridiplantae; Streptophyta; Magnoliopsida; Poales; Poaceae.
AGCACAGCGAAAUCACAAGCGUCCUUGCAGCAACAAUGGCUCUCCUCAAAAACUUGGCCGCGUUCGUGUGCGUGAUGCUGGCCUCGCUCGCGUUCGCCGCGCAGGCCGUCCUGGCCGCCAGAGGCCUCGCCCCGGCCACCGGUGCUUUAAGCAGCAUGAAUACGUACACGGGUGAAACGCCUGACCCCCCUUGUAAGAAAGGUGAUGAUUACUGUUCAAGCGGGAAACCUGCACAUUAGCCUCCGAGAAGAUAGGCCGCCGGGGAACCACAUUUGGAGGUUGGAGCAUGAAGAUCCAUACAAGUACCGUCCAAACAUGAAUAAAUUAGCUACUGAACACUAGUAUUUGUUGUUGAUAUAAACAUAGUGAGGUGAGACUAUCUAUCGUUGUGUUUUCAUUUCGAAUGAAGGCCAGAGAGCGCCACGUGAUUAUCUAUAAUACCAGGAGAAAAAAAGCCGUGCCGUGUUUACGGGGCACAAUUCUCUUUCUCUGUGUGUUGGUGUUGUAUCUCGCAAGAAGUAAUAUGUGUUUUAAGUGUCUCCG